ACCCUGGUAGUCCACGCCGUAAACGAUGUCGACUUGGAGGUUGUGCCCUUGAGGCGGUGGCUUCCGGAGCUAACGCGUUAAGUCGACCGCCUGGGGAGUACGGCCGCAAGGUUAAAACUCAAAUGAAUUGACGGGGGCCCGCACAAGCGGUGGAGCAUGUGGUUUAAUUCGAUGCAACGCGAAGAACCUUACCUACUCUUGACAUCCAGAGAACUUAGCAGAGAUGCUUUGGUGCCUUCGGGAACUCUGAGACAGGUGCUGCAUGGCUGUCGUCAGCUCGUGUUGUGAAAUGUUGGGUUAAGUCCCGCAACGAGCGCAACCCUUAUCCUUUGUUGCCAGCGGUCCGGCCGGGAACUCAAAGGAGACUGCCAGUGAUAAACUGGAGGAAGGUGGGGAUGACGUCAAGUCAUCAUGGCCCUUACGAGUAGGGCUACACACGUGCUACAAUGGCGCAUACAAAGAGAAGCGACCUCGCGAGAGCAAGCGGACCUCAUAAAGUGCGUCGUAGUCCGGAUUGGAGUCUGCAACUCGACUCCAUGAAGUCGGAAUCGCUAGUAAUCGUAGAUCAGAAUGCUACGGUGAAUACGUUCCCGGGCCUUGUACACAC
RNAcentral lists this ribosomal RNA (607 nucleotides) under uncultured bacterium. Its description in RNAcentral is "bacterial SSU rRNA". It matches the Rfam family "Bacterial small subunit ribosomal RNA", at positions 784 to 1390 of the family's 1533-position model. The record is from RNAcentral.